This 497-nucleotide ribosomal RNA is filed under the name uncultured bacterium. RNAcentral's name for it is "partial 16S ribosomal RNA". It matches the Rfam family "Bacterial small subunit ribosomal RNA", at positions 28 to 507 of the family's 1533-position model. The record is from RNAcentral.
GACGAACGCUGGCGGCGUGCCUAAUACAUGCAAGUUGAGCGAUGAAGAUUGGUGCUUGCACCAAUUUGAAGAGCAGCGAACGGGUGAGUAACGCGUGGGGAAUCUGCCUUUGAGCGGGGGACAACAUUUGGAAACGAAUGCUAAUACCGCAUAACAACUUUAAACAUAAGUUUUAAGUUUGAAAGAUGCAAUUGCAUCACUCAAAGAUGAUCCCGCGUUGUAUUAGCUAGUUGGUGAGGUAAAGGCUCACCAAGGCGAUGAUACAUAGCCGACCUGAGAGGGUGACCGGCCACAUUGGGACUGAGACACGGCCCAAACUCCUACGGGAGGCAGCAGUAGGGAAUCUUCGGCAAUGGACGAAAGUCUGACCGAGCAACGCCGCGUGAGUGAAGAAGGUUUUCGGAUCGUAAAACUCUGUUGGUAGAGAAGAACGUUGGUGAGAGUGGAAAGCUCAUCAAGUGACGGUAACUACCCAGAAAGGGACGGCUAACUACGUG